AUUGAACGCUGGCGGCAUGCCUUACACAUGCAAGUCGAACGGCAGCACGGGAGCUUGCUCCUGGUGGCGAGUGGCGAACGGGUGAGUAAUACAUCGGAACGUACCCUGAAGUGGGGGAUAACGUAGCGAAAGUUACGCUAAUACCGCAUAUUCUGUGAGCAGGAAAGAGGGGGAUCGCAAGACCUCUUGCUUUAGGAGCGGCCGAUGUCGGAUUAGCUAGUUGGUGAGGUAAAGGCUCACCAAGGCGACGAUCCGUAGCGGGUCUGAGAGGAUGAUCCGCCACACUGGGACUGAGACACGGCCCAGACUCCUACGGGAGGCAGCAGUGGGGAAUAUUGCACAAUGGGCGAAAGCCUGAUGCAGCGACGCCGCGUGAGGGAUGAAGGCCUCGGGUUGUAAACCGUCUUUCAGUAGGAGAAGCGCAAGUGACGGUACCGUAC
Molecule: ribosomal RNA, 440 nt
Filed under: uncultured bacterium
Lineage: Bacteria
Description: bacterial SSU rRNA
Rfam family: Bacterial small subunit ribosomal RNA
Source: RNAcentral